CCUACGGGGGGCAGCAGUGGGGAAUAUUGGACAAUGGGGGGAACCCUGAUCCAGCCAUGCCGCGUGUGUGAAGAAGGCCCUCGGGUUGUAAAGCACUUUCAGUGAGGAAGAACGCCUGGUGGUUAAUACCCAUCAGGAAAGACAUCACUCACAGAAGAAGCACCGGCUAACUCCGUGCCAGCAGCCGCGGUAAUACGGAGGGUGCGAGCGUUAAUCGGAAUUACUGGGCGUAAAGCGCGCGUAGGUGGCUUGAUAAGCCGGUUGUGAAAGCCCCGGGCUCAACCUGGGAACGGCAUCCGGAACUGUCAAGCUAGAGUGCAGGAGAGGAAGGUAGAAUUCCCGGUGUAGCGGUGAAAUGCGUAGAGAUCGGGAGGAAUACCAGUGGCGAAGGCGGCCUUCUGGCCUGACACUGACACUGAGGUGCGAAAGCGUGGGUAGCAAACAGGAUUAGAUACCCUGGUAGUC
RNAcentral lists this ribosomal RNA (465 nucleotides) under Vreelandella stevensii. Its description in RNAcentral is "partial 16S ribosomal RNA". It matches the Rfam family "Bacterial small subunit ribosomal RNA", at positions 338 to 795 of the family's 1533-position model. The record is from RNAcentral. Lineage: Bacteria; Pseudomonadati; Pseudomonadota; Gammaproteobacteria; Oceanospirillales; Halomonadaceae.